Manis pentadactyla (Chinese pangolin) is the source of this 378-nucleotide long non-coding RNA. RefSeq lists it as uncharacterized. Lineage: Eukaryota; Metazoa; Chordata; Mammalia; Pholidota; Manidae. The transcript is spliced from 3 exons. The record is from RefSeq and is a predicted model, not a curated record.
GCCAAGACUCACCACAGAGGGAUGUGGAUGGAGGAAGACCUGUGGAUUCUACCCGCUGAAGAACUCACCUCUGCCUCGCCUCUCCACGCCCAAGCCAGACCCCAGGGGUGUUCGGGAAAGGGGAGCAGUUUUUGUUGCAGUUAACAACCGAGGACAAUCAGUGGGGAGGACCACAGAUGUCUGUACUCCUUAACAUGGAAUCAGUUCCUCACAAGCAGGAACUAGCCCAGCCUUAUAGGGUAAAGAAAAUGAACAUCUGUACAAUGGAAUAUUACUUGGCAGUCAAUUUAAGUGAACCAAGUACUGAUGCCUGCUGCAACAUGGGUGAACCCAGAACAUGUUCUGCCGUGUGAACAAAGCCAGGCACAAAGACUGCAU